RNAcentral lists this ribosomal RNA (253 nucleotides) under uncultured bacterium. RNAcentral's name for it is "partial 16S ribosomal RNA". It matches the Rfam family "Bacterial small subunit ribosomal RNA", at positions 524 to 776 of the family's 1533-position model. The record is from RNAcentral.
UACGUAGGGGGCUAGCGUUGUCCGGAUUUAUUGGGCGUAAAGAGCGCGUAGGCGGCCAGGUAGGUCUGGUGUGAAAACUCGAGGCUUAACCUCGAGAUGUCAUCGGAAACCAUCUGGCUAGAGUCCGGAAGAGGAGAGUGGAAUUCCUGGUGUAGCGGUGAAAUGCGCAGAUAUCAGGAAGAACACCCAUAGCGAAGGCAGCUUGCUGGGACGUUACUGACGCUAAGGCGCGAAAGCGUGGGGAGCGAACAGG